CCUACGGGGAGCAGCAGUAGGGAAUUUUCGGCAAUGGGGGGAACCCUGACCGAGCAACGCCGCGUGAACGAAGAAGUUAUUCGUAAUGUAAAGUUCUUUUAACAGGGAAGAAAGAGAAAUUUGACGGUACCUGAAGAAUAAGCCCCGGCUAACUACGUGCCAGCAGCCGCGGUAAUACGUAGGGAGCGAGCGUUAUCCGGAAUUAUUGGGCGUAAAGGGUGCGUAGAUGGCAUAGUAAGUCUUUUGUAAAAAUGCUGGGCUCAACCCAGUAGGGCAAAAGAUACUGCAAAGCUAGAGUAUGACAGAGGCAAGUGGAACUACAGGUGUAGCGGUAAAAUGCGUAGAUAUAUGGAAGAACACCAGUGGCGAAGGCGGCUUGCUGGGUCGAUACUGACAUUGAGGCACGAAAGCGUGGGGAGCAAACAGGAUUAGAUACCCGAGUAGUC
This 446-nucleotide ribosomal RNA is filed under the name uncultured bacterium. RNAcentral's name for it is "partial 16S ribosomal RNA". It matches the Rfam family "Bacterial small subunit ribosomal RNA", at positions 338 to 795 of the family's 1533-position model. The record is from RNAcentral.